Molecule: long non-coding RNA, 419 nt
Organism: Dermochelys coriacea (leatherback sea turtle)
Lineage: Eukaryota; Metazoa; Chordata; Testudines; Dermochelyidae
Exons: 3
Source: RefSeq, a predicted model, not a curated record
CAGGGCAUGGGGCAGGGCAAGGGUGGUUAGACAGUUGGCAUCCCAACGUGUGCUGCUGAUCUCCCGUAGGCUUUUUCCUCUACAUCAGUACCGGCCCACAGGACCUGAGCAGCGGUGCAGCCAGACUGAUUAGUCCAGUUUUCCAAGCAACCACGACCAGCAGCUGCUCUCUCGUGUUCUACUCCCACCUCUACGACUCGGCCACCAGCAGCCUCAACAUCUACUACCAAACCAAGGCCGUCACGCAGCUCAUGCACACGAGGGCUGGGGACCUGGGCAAUUACUGGUUCAGGGAGAAAGUGGACUUCAAUGUGACCAAGAACUUCCAGAUCAUUCUUGAGGGCAUGAUCGGAACAGGACAGAAAGGAAGCAUGGCCCUGGAUGACUUGGUUCUAUCCCCAGGCUGCGUCCGGGCUGCA